This 178-nucleotide non-coding RNA is filed under the name Bacillota bacterium. RNAcentral's name for it is "Firmicutes bacterium (anaerobic digester metagenome) 6S RNA". It matches the Rfam family "6S / SsrS RNA". From Rfam's summary of the family: E. coli 6S RNA was the first non coding RNA to be sequenced, but its function was unknown until recently. It consists of 184 nucleotides that fold into an extended hairpin structure with a large single-stranded internal bulge. Lineage: Bacteria; Bacillati; Bacillota. The record is from RNAcentral.
AGUACCCUACUGUAUGCGUGUAGCCGCUAAAGUUUUGAGCUAACACUUAUGAAAAGGGAUCCCGGCUUUAUGUGCAGCAUAGAUGCCCUUGAAGAGGGACCUAUAAAGCAUGUAAGAGGGCACCCACCUUAGGAAGAGCAGUUCAAAACAAGCAGGCCCACGGUAUGGUGGGGUAUCU